RNAcentral lists this non-coding RNA (1327 nucleotides) under Daphnia magna. Its description in RNAcentral is "Bacterial large subunit ribosomal RNA". It matches the Rfam family "Bacterial large subunit ribosomal RNA", at positions 1095 to 2433 of the family's 2925-position model. The record is from Rfam by way of RNAcentral. Lineage: Eukaryota; Metazoa; Arthropoda; Branchiopoda; Diplostraca; Daphniidae.
AGGAGGUUGGCUUAGAAGCAGCCACCCUUUAAAGAAAGCGUAAUAGCUCACUAGUCGAGUCGGUCUGCGCGGAAGAUGUAACGGGGCUCAACCAGUUACCGAAGCUGCGGAUGCACCGCAAGGUGCGUGGUAGGAGAGCGUUCUGUAAGCCUGUGAAGGUGUCUUGGAAGGAUGCUGGAGGUAUCAGAAGUGCGAAUGCUGACAUGAGUAGCGUUAAAGGGGGUGAAAAGCCCCCUCGCCGAAAGCGCAAGGUUUCCUACGCAACGUUCAUCGGCGUAGGGUGAGUCGGCCCCUAAGGCGAGGCAGAGAUGCGUAGCUGAUGGGAAACAGGUAAUAUUCCUGUACCGAUCAAUAGUGCGAUGUGGGGACGGAGAAGGUUAGCUCAGCCAACUGUUGGAAUAGUUGGUUCAAGCGUGUAGUCGUGCUCUAGGCAAAUCCGGAGGCUUAGAUGAGGCGUGAUAACGAGUCUGCUUGCAGACGAAGUGAGUGAUACCCUGCUUCCAGGAAAAGCCACUAAGCUUCAGCUAUUGACCGUACCGCAAACCGACACUGGUGCGCGAGAUGAGUAUUCUAAGGCGCUUGAGAGAACUCUGGAGAAGGAACUCGGCAAAUUGACACCGUAACUUCGGAGAAGGUAUGCCCCAAGUAGGUGAACUCGAACAGAGGGAGCCCAACGGGGUUGCAAAAAAUCGGUGGCUGCGACUGUUUAAUAAAAACACAGCACUCUGCAAACACGAAAGUCGACGUAUAGGGUGUGACGCCUGCCCGGUGCUGGAAGAUUAAAUGAUGGGGUGCAAGCUCUUGACUGAAGUCCCAGUAAACGGCGGCCGUAACUAUAACGGUCCUAAGGUAGCGAAAUUCCUUGUCGGGUAAGUUCCGACCUGCACGAAUGGCGUAACGAUGGCCACACUGUCUCCUCCAGAGACUCAGCGAAGUUGAAAUGUUUGUGAUGAUGCAAUCUCCCCGCGGAAAGACGGAAAGACCCCAUGAACCUUUACUGUAGCUUUACAUUGGACUUUGAACAGAUCUGUGUAGGAUAGGUGGGAGGCUUUGAAGUGAGGACGCUAGUUCUCAUGGAGCCAACGUUGAAAUACCACCCUGGUGUGUUUGAGGUUCUAACCUUGGUCCCUUAUCGGGAUUGGGGACAGUGUAUGGUGGGCAGUUUGACUGGGGCGGUCUCCUCCCAAAGUGUAACGGAGGAGUUCGAAGGUACGCUAAAUACGGUCGGAAAUCGUGUUGAUAGUGCAUUGGCAUAAGCGUGCUUGACUGCGAGACUGACAAGUCGAGCAGGUACGAAAGUAGGACAUAGUGAUCCGGUGGUUCUGUA